CGGUUGAUCCUACCGGAGACUACUGCUAUUGGGGUUCGGAGUAGCCAUGCUAGUCGACCCGAUUUAAAUCGGGGUGCUGACGCUCAGUAACACGUGGACAAUCUGCCCUCGGGUGGGGGAUAAACUCGGGAAACUGAGUAUAAUACCCCAUGGGUCCAGGCGGCUGGAAUGCGCCUGGGCUCAAAGCUCCGGCGCCCGAGGAUGAGUCCGCGGCCUAUCAGGUUGUAGUCAGGGUAAUGACCUGACUAGCCUUCGACGGGUACGGGCUGUGAGAGCAGUCGCCCGGAGAUGGACUCUGAGACACGAGUCCAGGCCCUACGGGGCGCAGCAGGCGCGGAAACUUCGCAAUGCGGGAAACCGUGACGAGGGAACCCCAAGUGCCUAUGCAAAGCAUAGGCUGUUUCCCAGCCUAAAAAGCUGGAAGAGUAAGGGCUGGGUAAGACCGGUGCCAGCCGCCGCGGUAACACCGGCAGCCCGAGUGGUAGUCGCUAUUAUUGGGCUUAAAGCGUUCGUAGCCGGUUUGGUAAAUCCUUGGGUAAAUCGUAACGCCUAACGUUACGACUUCCGAGGAGACUGCCAGACUUGGGACCGGUUGAGGUCAGAGGUACUUGCGGGGUAGCGGUGAAAUGUUGUAAUCCCGCAAGGACCACCAGUGGCGAAGGCGUCUGACUUGAACGGCUCCGACGGUUAGGAACGAAACCCUGGGGCGCAAACCGGAUUAGAUACCCGGGUAGUCCAGGGCGUAAACGCUGCAGGCUUGGUGUUGGGAGUCCCGCGAGGGCGCUCAGUGCCGGAGCGAAAGUGUUAAGCCUGCCGCCUGGGGAGUACGGCCGCAAGGCUGAAACUUAAAGGAAUUGGCGGGGGAGCAC
This 869-nucleotide ribosomal RNA is filed under the name uncultured archaeon. Its description in RNAcentral is "bacterial SSU rRNA". It matches the Rfam family "Archaeal small subunit ribosomal RNA", at positions 5 to 879 of the family's 1478-position model. The record is from RNAcentral.